AYAAGGGAAWUCCCCUAGUAGCGGCGAGCGAAGCGGGAAGAGCUCAAAUUUAUAAUCUGGCACCUUCGGKGUCCGAGUUGUAAUCUCUAGAAAUGUUUUCCGCGUUGGACCGCACACAAGUCUGUUGGAAUACAGCGGCAUAGUGGUGAGACCCCCGUAUAUGGUGCGGACGCCCAGCGCUUUGUGAUACAUUUUCGAAGAGUCGAGUUGUUUGGGAAUGCAGCUCAAAUUGGGUGGUAAAUUCCAUCUAAAGCUAAAUAUUGGCGAGAGACCGAUAGCGAACAAGUACCGUGAGGGAAAGAUGAAAAGCACUUUGGAAAGAGAGUUAACAGUACGUGAAAUUGUUGGAAGGGAAACGCUUGAAGUCAGACUUGCUUGCCGAGCAAUCGGUUUGCAGGCCAGCAUCAGUUUUCCGGGAUGGAUAAUGGUAGAGAGAAGGUAGCAGUUUCGGCUGUGUUAUAGCUCUCUGCUGGAUACAUCUUGGGGGACUGAGGAACGCAGUGUGCCUUUUGGCGGGGGUUUCGACCUCUUCACACUUAGGAUGCUGGUGGAAUGGCUUUAAACGACCCGUCUUGAAACACGGACA
Molecule: ribosomal RNA, 586 nt
Filed under: Rhodotorula mucilaginosa
Lineage: Eukaryota; Fungi; Basidiomycota; Microbotryomycetes; Sporidiobolales; Sporidiobolaceae
Description: partial large subunit ribosomal RNA
Rfam family: Eukaryotic large subunit ribosomal RNA
Source: RNAcentral